AAAUUGAAGAGUUUGAUCAUGGCUCAGAUUGAACGCUGGCGGCAGGCCUAACACAUGCAAGUCGAACGGUAGCACAGAGAGCUUGCUCUCGGGUGACGAGUGGCGGACGGGUGAGUAAUGUCUGGGAAACUGCCCGAUGGAGGGGGAUAACUACUGGAAACGGUAGCUAAUACCGCAUAAUGUCGCAAGACCAAAGUGGGGGACCUUCGGGCCUCACACCAUCGGAUGUGCCCAGAUGGGAUUAGCUUGUUGGUGGGGUAACGGCUCACCAAGGCGACGAUCCCUAGCUGGUCUGAGAGGAUGACCAGCCACACUGGAACUGAGACACGGUCCAGACUCCUACGGGAGGCAGCAGUGGGGAAUAUUGCACAAUGGGCGCAAGCCUGAUGCAGCCAUGCCGCGUGUAUGAAGAAGGCCUUCGGGUUGUAAAGUACUUUCAGCGGGGAGGAAGGCGUUG
This 457-nucleotide ribosomal RNA is filed under the name Salmonella enterica subsp. enterica. Its description in RNAcentral is "bacterial SSU rRNA". It matches the Rfam family "Bacterial small subunit ribosomal RNA", at positions 1 to 456 of the family's 1533-position model. The record is from RNAcentral. Lineage: Bacteria; Pseudomonadati; Pseudomonadota; Gammaproteobacteria; Enterobacterales; Enterobacteriaceae. RNAcentral also lists the same sequence under 1 other name.